GUUAUGCUACUGGUCUGAGAUCAGAUAUGAUCAGUGCAGCAUUAUACGCCUGCGUGUGUGGAAACUAAAUUUGCGCGUUAAGCAUGAAGAGGCAGCUGUAACAAGUAAACAAACAAAUUGCGCUGAUUCAUCAUCUCUGUGAAAGACCCGCUGCAAGUUUGAGAAGUUUGAGACGGAAUAUCAUUACACAGGUAGCGCAGCUCCUUUCACAGUUCAGAGUUAGCUAGUUAGAUAGCAGUUAGCAGUACAGCUGUGAACGUACAGUGCGAUGUAUGUAUGUAUGUGCACUGUAGGCUGUUUUUCAGUAAAUAAAUGCUACAACUCCUCAAGACCCAAGUUUCCGGGUCUCCCCAGUGCUUCCCAACUACAGUCCGGACUAUGAAGAAAGGUUGACAACACUGAAGCAGCCAGGAAGGAGAAAGGUGAAGAUUUCCAGGCAGAGUGCAGCAAGAUGCAGAGAGCGUUUCAGAACAAGGAAGACAGCUGGCACAAAUCUUGACACAGGAAUGGCCCUGCAUUUAAGAGAGAUUUGCUGCUACUGGUGACAUGAAAAGGCUAUAACUUAUGACAUCUACCCCACCUGAAAAUGCUACCCAUGUCCAGACCCAUCACCUUCAGGGAGUGCAUCUGAAUACAGCCACCUAAGGUCCGGCCAUCAGUGUGCAUGCGGAAGCCUUCACUACACUCACAGCGAUAAGAGCC
This is a long non-coding RNA of Seriola aureovittata, 702 nucleotides long. RefSeq lists it as uncharacterized. NCBI's taxonomy places the organism in Eukaryota, Metazoa, Chordata, Actinopteri, Carangiformes, Carangidae. The transcript is spliced from 4 exons. The record is from RefSeq and is a predicted model, not a curated record.